UACUUCCUUUCCAAUCCAGCAAGCAAGACGAAGAGCGAAGAUUUGAAUUGGAAAUCGAACUAUUUUACUGCAAAGAACACCAUCGACGUCCAUAAAGAUUCAGAAAUUGGAGACAGUGGAGGAACUACUCAAACUUGACGAGUUGAUAAAAACUCAACCAAGCAAGAAAGAUUUGCUGACAGCCAGGCUCUCAAAGAUUGGUGGAUAUGACUUAAAGAGCUGUUUAAGCAGCAUCAUGGACAGGCUCAUGACAAAUGAAUUAAUGUCCAAUCUGAACAUGAAGGGGAGGGGGGAAAAACUGCCUUUGCCGAGACGAAGCUGCUCGAUGUAGU
This is a long non-coding RNA of Nerophis ophidion (straightnose pipefish), 332 nucleotides long. RefSeq lists it as uncharacterized. Lineage: Eukaryota; Metazoa; Chordata; Actinopteri; Syngnathiformes; Syngnathidae. The record is from RefSeq and is a predicted model, not a curated record. The transcript is spliced from 4 exons.